Molecule: ribosomal RNA, 248 nt
Filed under: Strongylogaster multifasciata (bracken sawfly)
Lineage: Eukaryota; Metazoa; Arthropoda; Insecta; Hymenoptera; Tenthredinidae
Description: partial 16S ribosomal RNA
Source: RNAcentral
CUGUCUCUAUUUAAAUAUUAAUUUAAUUUAAUUUUUAAGUUAAAAAGCUUAAAUUUUUUUAAAGGACGAGAAGACCCUAUAGAGUUUUACAAAAAAAUUUAUUAAUAAAUUUUAUUUUUUUUGUUAAUAAUUUUUUUUGUUUUAUUGGGGCGAUAAUAAAAUUUAAUUAACUUUUUAAUAUAAAUAAACAUUAAUUAGUGAAUUUUUGAUCCUAUUAUUUAGAUUAUUAGAAUAAAUUACCUUAGGGA